GCAAGUCGAACGAACACGACCGGAGCUUGCCCCGGUACGGUUAGUGGCAAACGGGUGAGUAAUACGAAGGAAUCUGCCUUGCAGUAUGGGAUAACUAUUGGAAACGAUAGCUAAUACCAUAUAUUACCGAGAGGUGAAAGAUUUAUCGCUGCAAGAUGAGCCUUCGCAGGAUUAGCUAGUUGGUAAGGUAAUGGCUUACCAAGGCGAUGAUCCUUAGCUGGUCUGGGAGGAUGAAC
RNAcentral lists this ribosomal RNA (236 nucleotides) under uncultured bacterium. Its description in RNAcentral is "partial 16S ribosomal RNA". It matches the Rfam family "Bacterial small subunit ribosomal RNA", at positions 57 to 305 of the family's 1533-position model. The record is from RNAcentral.